GUCGAGACUCCUCUACCCUGUGCAAAGGUGUAUGAAUUUCGACCCCAGAGCUCUGGUCUCUGUGCUUUCAUGUUGCUGCUUUAUUUCGACCCCAGAGCUCUGGUCUGUGUGCUUUCAUGUCGCUGCUUUAUUAAAUCUUGCCUUCUACAUUUUAUGUAUGGUCUCAGUGUCUUCUUGGGUACGCGGCUGUCCCGGGACUUGAGUGUCUGAGUGAGGGUCUCCCCUCGAGGGUCUUUCAUUUGGUGCAUUGGCCGGGAAACAGCGCGACCACCCAGAGGUCCUAGACCCACUUAGAGAUAAGUGCCGGUUGCAUCCAGCUGUGAGAGCUGCACUCCCGUCUCUGCUCUAAAGUUCCCUCUUCUCAGAAGGUGGCACCACCCUGAGUUGCUGGCAGUGAGUCUGUUCCAAGUUCCAGUGAGGGAGGCAUCCGCCCACUUGGGGCUUCUGUCCAAGGUUGGUACCAGACUUGGGAUCGCACAGUAGGAUAGCAGCUGUUUCCAGCAGAUCUUUGGUUUCCCUACCCCACCACCAAGCAAGAUAGCUACUAGAGAUCUAUACCUUCGGUCUCUCUCCUGAAAGAACUAGAGUCAUGGAUGAUGGAUGACUUUGGCUCUUAGCUUCCAAGCCUACUGAUGUGCGUUCUGAGCUCUUGGGGUUUAUUUGAACUAUGCUUUUAGACCAGGCUGGGUUCCAGAGUGGGCUGAAUCCAAUAAUGGACCUAUUGCAUAGAUGCUACUGCUGUGGGCUGGGACAGACCUUGGCUACCAAGUGUGCAAGGCACAUGUGUGACUUGGUGUUUUAGCUCACUUUCCAUUGCUUUGAUAAAACACGGACCAAAAGCAACUUGGGGAGGAAAGGGUUUAUUUGGCUUAUACAUCCCAGUCAGAGUUGAUCGCUGUGGGAAGUGGGGGCAAGAACUCAAGCGGGAACCCAGAAGUAUGCACUGAAGCGGAGCCAUAAGGAAUGCUGCUGGCUGGCAUGCUCAACCCGCUUCUUUACAAAACCCAGAACCAUCUGCCUAGACAUGACACUGCCCGCGGUGGCCUAAGCCCUCCCACAUUAAUCAAGAAGACACUCCACAGACCAGCGUCCAGGUCCAUCCCAGGAAAGCAACUCCUCCAUUGACUCUUCCUCUUUCCAGAUGACCCCAGUUUGUGUCAAAUUGACAACGAAAUGAUCAAUCAAUCAAACAAACAAAAACUCAUCACUCUUAGAAAAAGAAAUUUAGUACCUUCAAGAUGUCUACUUAGAGCGAGUCCAGAUGGGCGCCAGCCCUUCCUGGGUCCCCAGACCUUCCACUGUCAAAAGCUCCACAUCCCACCGCUUCAUGUGGAACAUACCAAAUGAUGAAAUUUUGAAAGAUAUUAGUGGGGUGACUGCUCUAAACUUGUUAAAAUUGUUAUAACCUGUAAUCCCGGAAAGACAAUAAGAUCUUCCAUCAGGGAGUUGGGGGGAUUAAAAGCAUUUGUGCC
Molecule: long non-coding RNA, 1472 nt
Organism: Mus musculus (house mouse)
Lineage: Eukaryota; Metazoa; Chordata; Mammalia; Rodentia; Muridae
Product: predicted gene, 34746
Exons: 3
Source: RefSeq, marked validated